Gopherus evgoodei (Goodes thornscrub tortoise) is the source of this 271-nucleotide long non-coding RNA. RefSeq lists it as uncharacterized. The record is from RefSeq and is a predicted model, not a curated record. The transcript is spliced from 3 exons. Lineage: Eukaryota; Metazoa; Chordata; Testudines; Testudinidae.
CCUGCCUGACCUGACCUCAGCCGGGGGGAAAGAGUCACACUCACAGUGAGGAUGCUAUGGCCCACCUACUGUUCCUUUGGCGACUCUGCUGUGCAGAAAAGUGAAACAAAGGUUUGAUACUAGAGCUUGCAAAGUGGUCUGAAGGAUUUGCUUGAGGACAUCAACACUGGAAUCCCAGUCUGAAUCCAUGACUGAGAUAUAACCCCCACAAUUUAAUGAACUGCCAGGAUCUGCUUCGUUACUUCAAACACUGGAGAAUAAGAAGAGAACA